Non-coding RNA from Chrysemys picta bellii (western painted turtle), 1981 nucleotides. The record is from RefSeq and is a predicted model, not a curated record. NCBI's taxonomy places the organism in Eukaryota, Metazoa, Chordata, Testudines, Emydidae.
UGGAGGUCAGAAGUAGCCCUGGAGCCUGCGGGGUGGAGGUCAGAGGCCGCCCUGGAGCCUGCGGGGUGGAGGUCAGAAGCAGCCCCUGCAGUCCCAGCCUUGCGGAGCUGCCUGACCCGGGCCUGGUGCCGGGCGUGGGCUGCAGAAACUGCUUCAACCAGCUUCAAGAGACUUAAGUGGAACAAAGAACUUUGCAGCGAAUCAAAGGGCAACCCAGUGAAUGGAAGGAACAGGGAACUGGAACAGGGUCUGCUGGUGUGCAGGCGUGUGUUCUUAAAAGCACGUCAUCCCAAUGCCAAGACAAGACAUGAAGUAUUGAGCAGCGAAAGGAGACUUGAUCCAGUAAAAUAUUUUACAUCCCCCCACUGCCAAAAAUUGCAAUAGUCAUACAUGAUUUUAGUGUGAAAGAGAAUCCCGUAUCAAUGUAUCUGUCUGCAUAACACCUCUGAGCACUUCACAAAUUUGUCUUACCUGGUGUGCUGAUUGCCUGAGUCGGACUGGGGUUUUUGGUACUCCACUGUCCAUAGAGUUUCACUCCUUUAAAUUGGUUACUUUUUAAAAUGCUAUUUUGAUGACUCUUAGCACUUCAUCAUUUCCCUUCAUUAACACGGUGCAGAUGGAUGUCCGUGUGUUCAUUCAUUUCUAUUUUCAUAGCAAAUAAUCUUUGGAAAUAUUAUUAGUUGCUAGUAGCUUCAGCAGUCACCUCUCACAGUGUUUCUAGUGUAACACUUCCUGUUUGUAUGGCAGACGGCAGCUUGAGUUUUUAAUGCUAAAUUUUUGUUCUUUUUACCCAGUUUAUUCUUUGGGAUCAUGUGACUUCAAGGCUGACUGAUUUCUCUGAUGCUGGUUGUGUAGUGAACACUUCUCUGGGAUAGCUCAGUGGUUUGAGCAUUGGCCUCCUAAACCCAGGGUUGUGAGUUAAAUCCUUGAGGGGGCCGUUGGGGGCAAAAAUCUAGCUGGGGAUUGGUCCUGCUUUGAGCAGGAGGUUGGACUAAAUGACCUCCUGAGGUCCCUUCCAACUCUGAUAUUCUAUUAUUCUUUCCUGAGCAGACAUAUUUGCAUCUGAAUGACUGUGACCCCCCCGCCCCCCACCCUGUUCAUGUGGAUGUCAUGGAAAUAAAAAAAAAACAAAUUUUAAACUAAAGAAAUUAACCAAGGCUUCAAGCCCUUUAAUUUCCCUUCUUCAGGGCUUGUCUACAUGGUGUGAUGCUAAAGGUGUGAAGUUAAUGCGCCGUAAACCCCUGUGUGGAUGAUCUCGUUCAGAAGUAAAGUCACCUUAGUUAUGACUAUAGUAGUCUUGGCAACCAUAGCAGAUUGCAAGAGUCCUUCCCAAAAAACGCUAUUAUUCAUCAGACCUUUGAUGUGUCCGGAACACUUAAAAAAUUUUGUAUAGUCCAAGUGUAACCCACAUUUGAUUUUUCAAAGAGAAGGAGCAAAGCAGUGGGGCACUCAUCUUAAUUUUCCUGAGUGUUGCCCUGUGUGGAAAAGUCAUUACGAUAUUUCCCAGGUCUCAAUUUUGGCCUGACAAAAUUUCAAUAAAUGGUUUAAGGUUGAAAUUUAAGAUGAUCUCGCCUCUUCUCUCUGCCCUCCGCUGGUCUGGGCAUCUGUUAUGAGCAGGAGAAUGAAGGCCGGAUAGUGUUCUCAUGGUAGAUCCAGCUGUGCGCACAGAGGGUGUUGGCCUGGCUGUAUAGGGAUACUCUCUAUAAGCGAUGUAUAGAAAUUCUUGUCCCAAUAGAAUUAACCAAUCAAUCCACAUUUUUGGUGCUGACUGUGAAAUUCCUCUUUGAUCUCAGCCACUAGCUGCUCACUAAUCACAUGUCAUAUAAAGCUUAUCUGUUACUAUGUGCUCCCUGGGGAAUUUAGCUCACAAACACAGCAUUGUCUCUGACAUUUUCAUGGUAAUAUUAAUGGCUGCGAUAUCUGCAUAGGUGUGAGAACACAGCUUGAGAGGCUGUAAUAAAAAUAUUUUCAGCUCACUUAA